UACGUAGGGGGCAAGCGUUGUCCGGAAUUAUUGGGCGUAAAGAGCUCGUAGGCGGUCUGUUGCGUCGGCUGUGAAAACCCGGGGCUCAACUCCGGGCCUGCAGCCGAUACGGGCAGACUAGAGUUCGGUAGGGGAGACUGGAAUUCCUGGUGUAGCGGUGAAAUGCGCAGAUAUCAGGAGGAACACCGGUGGCGAAGGCGGGUCUCUGGGCCGAUACUGACGCUGAGGAGCGAAAGCGUGGGGAGCGAACAGG
This 253-nucleotide ribosomal RNA is filed under the name uncultured bacterium. RNAcentral describes it as "partial 16S ribosomal RNA". It matches the Rfam family "Bacterial small subunit ribosomal RNA", at positions 524 to 776 of the family's 1533-position model. The record is from RNAcentral.